RNAcentral lists this transfer RNA (95 nucleotides) under Terfezia boudieri ATCC MYA-4762. RNAcentral describes it as "tRNA-Thr". It matches the Rfam family "tRNA". Rfam says of the family: Transfer RNA (tRNA) molecules are approximately 80 nucleotides in length. Their secondary structure includes four short double-helical elements and three loops (D, anti-codon, and T loops). Further hydrogen bonds mediate the characteristic L-shaped molecular structure. tRNAs have two regions of fundamental functional importance: the anti-codon, which is responsible for specific mRNA codon recognition, and the 3' end, to which the tRNAs corresponding amino acid is attached (by aminoacyl-tRNA synthetases). tRNAs cope with the degeneracy of the genetic code in two manners: having more than one tRNA (with a specific anti-codon) for a particular amino acid; and 'wobble' base-pairing, i.e. permitting non-standard base-pairing at the 3rd anti-codon position. Lineage: Eukaryota; Fungi; Ascomycota; Pezizomycetes; Pezizales; Pezizaceae. The record is from RNAcentral.
GGUACAGUGGUCUAAUGGUAUGACACCCGCUAUGUAGGUACCUGCCAAUCUCAGGCAGAGGGUGGGCGAUCUGGGUUCAAUCCCCAGCUGAGCCA